Molecule: unclassified non-coding RNA, 741 nt
Filed under: Haliotis rubra (blacklip abalone)
Lineage: Eukaryota; Metazoa; Mollusca; Gastropoda; Lepetellida; Haliotidae
Description: uncharacterized LOC124261615, transcript variant X1
Source: RNAcentral
UUCCCUCGACAUAGGUACAAUGUGUGAAGGACAUACUUUCUCUUACUUUCUCUCAGGUAGCUGUUCAUUUUUUCAGCGAAAUCAUCUUGACUUCAUAUUCUGUUGUCAAUGUCGACGCUGGCUACAAUGAAGUGGACAACUCCUGUGUGUUGCUGUUGUCGCGCUUGCACUGUUCAUCAACAAUGGAGUGUGUCAAAGAAUGUCACCAAAGACGACGACAACAACAACAACAACAACAGCAGCAACGACAGUUACUUCCAAGUGUAGGGAGGUCGCCGGAAACAAGGCUCGUUACGACCUGUUCGUGAGUGGUCACGGUUGGGCGAGCAGACGUUGCCCUCGGAACCGAGUUCCGUCUCUUGCCCAGUGUGAUUGUGUAAAGCCCAGAGUCACUGUAUCUCCUGUGCCAGACGAGUCAAUGUAAACAGGGACAAUCUACAGGGAUAGGUCACUCGCUUGUUUUCUACCAUUUGUACUAAUUAGUGUAUGCCUCGUCAUGCACCAACGCACACAGGGACUUGAUUAGUUCCCAGGGGCAACUUCCGGUUGCGUUUAAUAGUACUUCAGCCAGUUUAUUACAUCAAUCGAAAACUAUCGGGAUACUUUUUGCAAAGCAUAAAGCUAUACUGUCAAUAUGAUCAUGCAUGUUUCCUUAAAUAUUUACACAGUUGUGUACAGUGUUAUCAUGAUACAUGUAUGAAUUGAUCUGUUACGUAAUUAAAAUGUCUCACCAUGUUUCAA